This 230-nucleotide ribosomal RNA is filed under the name uncultured bacterium. Its description in RNAcentral is "partial 16S ribosomal RNA". It matches the Rfam family "Bacterial small subunit ribosomal RNA", at positions 564 to 791 of the family's 1533-position model. The record is from RNAcentral.
AGCGUGCGCAGGCGGUUAUAUAAGACAGAUGUGAAAUCCCCGGGCUCAACCUGGGAACUGCAUUUGUGACUGUAUAGCUGGAGUGCGGCAGAGGGGGAUGGAAUUCCGCGUUUUGAGCAGUGAAAUGCGUAGAUAUGCGGAGGAACACCGAUGGCGAAGGCAAUCCCCUGGGCCUGCACUGACGCUCAUGCACGAAAGCGUGGGGAGCAAACAGGAUUAGAUACCCUAGU